This 484-nucleotide ribosomal RNA is filed under the name uncultured bacterium. Its description in RNAcentral is "partial 16S ribosomal RNA". It matches the Rfam family "Bacterial small subunit ribosomal RNA", at positions 30 to 507 of the family's 1533-position model. The record is from RNAcentral.
AUUGAACGCUGGCGGCAGGCCUAACACAUGCAAGUCGAGCGGAUGAAGGGAGCUUGCUCCUGGAUUCAGCGGCGGACGGGUGAGUAAUGCCUAUGAAUCUGCCUGGUAGUGGGGGAUAACGUCCGGAAACGGGCGCUAAUACCGCAUACGUCCUGAGGGAGAAAGUGGGGGAUCUUCGGACCUCACGCUAUCAGAUGAGCCUAGGUCGGAUUAGCUAGUUGGUGGGGUAAAGGCCUACCAAGGCGACGAUCCGUAACUGGUCUGAGAGGAUGAUCAGUCACACUGGAACUGAGACACGGGCCAGGCUUCUAAGGGAGGCAGCAGGGGGGAAAAUUGGGAAAUGGGCGAAAAGCCGAACCAAGCCAGCCGGGUGGGUUAAGAAGGCCUUUGGGUUUGUAAACACUUUAAGUUGGGAGGAAGGGGAGUAAGUUUAAUCCUUGGUGUUUUGGCGGUACCAAAAGAAUGAGCCACGGGUAACUUCGUG